ACAGAGGUCCGGCUCGUCGCGGGGAGUGCAUCGGUAACACGAUGCCGCCUGAGGAAAGUCCGGGCAACAUAGAGCACCACACUCUUUAACUGAGAGCUAUCGGCGACGGUAGAGCAGCGUGACAGAGAAUAACCGCCGCGGUCCUCACGGAUUGCGGUAAGGGUGAAAAGGUGAGGUAAGAGCUCACCGGGCGUCGCAGCGAUGCGGCGUGCCGCACGUCUUGUGGGUUGCAAGGUCAAGUAUACCGGCAUUUAAGGGUUGCUCGCCCAUUGCCGGGGGGUAGACUGCUACGGACCGCGCACCCGUGCGCGGCCAAGAUAAAUGACGAGCCGUUGACGGCUUACGGACGCGAGUCUGUUUUCGCGACAACGACAUAACCCGGCUUACAGGAUCUCUGUCUUU
Molecule: RNase P RNA, 402 nt
Filed under: Barnesiella sp.
Lineage: Bacteria; Pseudomonadati; Bacteroidota; Bacteroidia; Bacteroidales; Barnesiellaceae
Description: RNase P RNA component class A
Rfam family: Bacterial RNase P class A
About the family: Ribonuclease P (RNase P) is a ubiquitous endoribonuclease, found in archaea, bacteria and eukarya as well as chloroplasts and mitochondria. Its best characterised activity is the generation of mature 5'-ends of tRNAs by cleaving the 5'-leader elements of precursor-tRNAs. Cellular RNase Ps are ribonucleoproteins.
Source: RNAcentral